Small nucleolar RNA from Crotalus tigris (Tiger rattlesnake), 139 nucleotides. RefSeq annotates it as small nucleolar RNA SNORA1. The record is from RefSeq and is a predicted model, not a curated record. The transcript has a single exon. NCBI's taxonomy places the organism in Eukaryota, Metazoa, Chordata, Lepidosauria, Squamata, Viperidae.
UGCCUCAUUUGAAGUACUCAGUGUGGGCACAUCUCAUUUUGUGUUUGCCAAACGAUGCAAUGAGGCUACAGAAAACACAGGUUCUGCUUCCAUCAUUGUAAAACAAGUUAUAUUGAUGACAAUGAGACCUGGGAUAAAU